AAUCGUUUUCGCCGUUAUAAUAAAAUGAACAAAUAAAAAAAAAAGUGUAUUCCAAAAUGAACCCUCAACUUUAUUGAGGCCCAAGCAAAGAAUUUCGUAUUCACUUUGCACCUUUUUGACACAUCACAUCGAAACAGAAGACGAAGGAGAUCUUAAACUUGAAAUUAUAGGCAAAGUAACAUCUAAGUAUUGAAAGAACUGCGCGAGAUGAAUAUCAAAAAUAUUUAAUACGUAUGCCGAUGUUGGCGAAAUCUGCUGCUGGUGCUAUAAGCAAACAGAAAGCAACGCUCUGCGUAAAAUAAAACGUAAAAUAAACGUUGAUUGGAUGUCAACUAUAUAGAAAAGAUAAACUAAGUCAACUAAUAUCGACUAAUAAGUUGAUCAAGUUUCACAGCUAUACAAAGUGAAUGCGAGAAGUUUAAUCAGCCGGCGAUACUUGUGAACAAUAAAAAUAAGAUAAUUAGAUCUACAACUCUAAUUGUUCUGCUACUACAUAGCUGCUGCUCUUAUGUCGUUCUGCAUGCAGAAAUGCGAAAAUUUGGUAUUGCAGGAUAAAACCGAGAAUACAGCUCUCCAAUAUCAAAAUCACAAACUUCAGGGUAAAAAGAAGAAAAUAUACAAAGCAAUCUUAUGCUCCAAUCUGCUGGACUUCAUCAACGAAUAAUAAAUUAAUGAAAAAAUACGAUUUUUUUGCACACCCAGU
Molecule: long non-coding RNA, 703 nt
Organism: Glossina fuscipes
Lineage: Eukaryota; Metazoa; Arthropoda; Insecta; Diptera; Glossinidae
Exons: 4
Source: RefSeq, a predicted model, not a curated record